Molecule: long non-coding RNA, 1360 nt
Filed under: Equus caballus (horse)
Lineage: Eukaryota; Metazoa; Chordata; Mammalia; Perissodactyla; Equidae
Description: lncRNA (ENSECAG00000047001.1)
Source: RNAcentral
GUAAAAGAGAGCAAGGAGGAUCUCCUGGCACAUUUGGCCCGGCGUGGAAGUGGCACACAUACAUUCCACCCUUGUUUUAUUGGCCAGAACCCAGUCCCAUGACCCCAACCUUACCUGGAGGGGGGUUGGGAAACGGGAUGUUCCUGUAUGCCCCAGAAGAGGAAUUGGGAUCGGUAAGCAUCUGGCCAGCUCUGCCACGGAUGGUGAUGGAUUCAAAGUUACAUCAGAGUUCAUAAUGUCACUCCGAAGGCACCUGCUGAGGAAUCUUGAAGGUGAAGGAUUUUUCUGAAGUCUCAAAGAAGCAAACAUUUUGAUGACUGAGGAAGAUUCACCCAGAGCUGACAUCUGUUGCCGAUCUUCUUCUUUUUGCUUGAGGAAGAUUCGUGCUGAGCUAACGUCUGUGGCGAUCUUCCUUUAUUUUGUAUGUGGGUCACUGCCACAGCAUGACCGCUGAUGAGUGGUGUGGAUGUCCAGUUGUUCCGGCGUCAUUCAUUGAGAAGACUAUGUUUGCUCCAUUGGAUUACCUUUGCUCCUUUGUCAAAGAUCAAUUGACUAUGUUUAUGUGGGCAUAUUUCUGGGUUAAUUUUGUAUUUUUUUCAUAAUAGUUAAUGAGUGCCUGCUUUAAACCAGGCACUGUCGUAAAUGCUGGAAAUAUAGGGGACAAGAAAAGAGAUGUCAUCCUUGCUCUUACGGAUUGUACAGUUAAUGGAUGGGAAAGGAUCAAAGAUAACUCCAGGUUUCUAGUUCACUCCAGAUUUCUGAUUUAGAUUAUGGGACAGGAAACCUAGAAGAAGCAGUAAGUUGAUGUGGAAAGAUGCUCCGUCUUGGGAAGUGUUGAGUUGGGCAUGUCUAUGGGAUAUCAUAAAAGAUGGCCAACAGGUACUUGGGUAUACAGAUGUGGAGCUAGAAGAGAAAAAUCUGACAUUGAGAUACAGAUUUUGGCACCAUCUGCAUGGAUAUGGUGGUAAAAACCGUGACUGUGUGUGAUUGCUAAAGGAAUGUGUACUGGAGUGGGAGAAGAGAAGAUGUUGCACAGCGGAACUCUGGGGAACUCCAGCAUUUGGAGGAAGAAGAAUGAAAAGUACUGCAUGGAAAUUUCAAAGGAGUGCAGAGAGGUAGAGGAGAACCAUGAGAGAGUUAUGUUGUGGAAGCCAAGUGUUAUGGACUGAAUUGUGUCUCCCCCAAACUCAUAUGUUGAGGCCCUAACCCCUAAUGUGACUGUAUUUAGAGAUAGAGACUUUAAGCAGAUAAUUAGGAUAAAUGAGGUCAUAAGUGUAGGACCCUACUCCAGUAGGACUGACAUCCUCAUAAGAAGAGGAAGAAAUACCAGGGGUCAAUCUCUCUCUCUCUACAUGCACAG